This 5815-nucleotide long non-coding RNA is filed under the name Sorghum bicolor (sorghum). RNAcentral describes it as "long non-coding RNA (SBIC_LNC001489)". Lineage: Eukaryota; Viridiplantae; Streptophyta; Magnoliopsida; Poales; Poaceae. The record is from RNAcentral.
GCUGAACCGACACGGGUAUAGUGCGAGCCCCUGUCCCUAUGUGUAUAGGCUGCGCGUCAUUGUGCCAUUCGGAAGGGGGGUAUCUAUAUCUGCUCGCAAAGGAAACCUUGCGGCCCUAACAUGUUAGACGAACUUUUGAAAGGCUUCAUAGUGAUCCCUGCCGACCUUCCUUGGGAGUGGGUUAAGAGGCUGAUCACCUCGGGCGAAAGGGUAAAUCAUGACUCAUGGGUAAAGAUGUACAACCUCUGCAGAGUGUUAAAACUAGUAUACUAGCCGUGCUCACGGUUAAGAGCGGCCUUGGGGGUUCUUGCUGCGACGACGAUGAGCUUGUUAAGUUGUUAUGUUCAUUUGAUUAUCGUUUAUGCUAAGAAUUAAUUAUGCUUACACUUGAUCAUGUGAUUAAUGGAUUAUUACUGCUACCUUGACAAUUGCUAUUAAAUUAUGAACAUGCUCUCCACUAUUAAAAGCUAAAUGCAGUUAAACCAGUGUCAGCCAUUUGAGCCUCAUGAACCCCUGGUUAUACUUGUUGAGUACGAUAUGUGCUCACUCUUGCUAUUUCCCACCACUCCAGUAUACUACUAAGAGUUAUCAGAGGAGCGAAGGAGUUACGAAGGACGUUAUCAGGAUACAAGAAGUGCUAGGCAUAUGUUACCCCAGUCAGCCGUCCCUGUGAAGAUUGAGCCUGAAGAUUAGUUAUUGUGUUACGAUUCUCUGAUGUAAGUGUUAAUUAUAAGUAUGUUUCCGCUAUAUAACAUUGUUUUUGAUAUUAUUGCUUCUGUUGUUAUAUGUGUGGACUUCCUGGGCACACAUAUGGCUAGCCUGGUUUUGUUCUUUAAAAUCGGGUGUGACAGAGAUGGAUUAUUACUGCUACCUUGACAAUUGCUAUUAAAUUAUGAACAUGCUCUCCACUAUUAAAAGCUAAAUGCAGUUAAACCAGUGUCAGCCAUUUGAGCCUCAUGAACCCCUGGUUAUACUUGUUGAGUACGAUAUGUGCUCACUCUUGCUAUUUCCCACCACUCCAGUAUACUACUAAGAGUUAUCAGAGGAGCGAAGGAGUUACGAAGGACGUUAUCAGGAUACAAGAAGUGCUAGGCAUAUGUUACCCCAGUCAGCCGUCCCUGUGAAGAUUGAGCCUGAAGAUUAGUUAUUGUGUUACGAUUCUCUGAUGUAAGUGUUAAUUAUAAGUAUGUUUCCGCUAUAUAACAUUGUUUUUGAUAUUAUUGCUUCUGUUGUUAUAUGUGUGGACUUCCUGGGCACACAUAUGGCUAGCCUGGUUUUGUUCUUUAAAAUCGGGUGUGACAGAGUGGUAUCAAAGCAGUGUUGACUGUAGGACGUAUGCCUAGAUAGAACUGGUCGAUUAGAAAAGUCUAAUUUGCUAUAAAACUAUUUUAUUAUCCCUUGACUCUUUAAUUUUGAUUAUUUCUCAAUCCUUGUCCCGUUGUAUUCUCUCCUUGAUAGCUUCCUUUGAGCUAUUAUUGCUUACUCCCUUGGUUUUUGUUCUAUGUAAUUUUACUAAAAGUUUUUUUUUUCCUACCUCAUUCAAAAGUUCGAUAGUCUUUUAUCAUCUCUCAUCUGCCCUUUAGGAUGACCACCAUAUUGAGGAAACACGUAUAGAAUCGAUGAUGUGUUGUGUGCUUGUCUUGUUUGGCGUAUUGCUUGUGUGUCGUCUCUAUUCUUGUGUUUUGAAGGAGGCCCAAAAGUUAUCGUCUUGAGAAGUAGCUCAAUCUUGUUAAGUGGGGUAGCGUCUGCUACCAUCAUCUAUCUUAAGUUUCAAGACCUAUCGACCUAAUGAUCAAUCUUAUCUUUCUUGUAUAUCUCUUUCUUGUAUAUUAAACUUUAUCUUUUCUAUCAUCAAUCGUCAUCUUCUUCUGCUCUUUUGUUAGUCUUUGCCCCUUGAUUGUUUACCUUAUAAUAUAAUGAUCUAAAGGUCAACUUCAUCCUCUUAGUCUACUUUUCUUGUCAUCAAUCUAUGUAUUUCUUGUGAUCGAUUAUUAUUUUUCAACUUAACCUUUAUCCGUCUACAGUUAUUUUAUCAACUCUCAUUAUAGAGCUCGAAAUAACAUUGAAGAACUUACCAAUCCUUGCUAAUUUUAAUCUUUUAUCAUAAAUGUCAUAAUCUUGAAUCAAGGAAUUCUAAGCACUAUAAGAUGUAUCUUUAUCAUUUAUAUUAUCUCUUGCUGAUCUUCACUCCUUGACUUUAGACCUCAUAAUCUGAAGAUCUGUGAUCAACCUUUAUCUAUUUUUUUAACCUUCCUUGAUCUUUCUUUUCUACCUAUGCUGAUCUUCAAUCCUUUGAUCUCAUUUCAUAAAUCCCAAAUGAAUCUUGAGAACAAAUCCUUGACAUUUUUGUCAACCUUUGUUAAUCCUUAAUCUCUAAAUCAUAUCCCGUCAAAAGUAUCAAAACAAUCUUGAAGAUCUGCUUUAUCGUUCUCUCUAGUCUCUCCGAAUCUCGGGACGAGAUUCCUGUUAAGUGGGGUAGAUUGUCACACCCCAAAAUUUUUGAUUUUGGGCUGUGCGUAGAAAACAUUAACAAAAAUAUAUAUUUUGAUAUUUGGAUAAAAUUUACCAAGUUUAGUUUGGAGUCACUGCAAAUUUAGUUAUAGGAGAAUGUUAAUUUUCAAAUUUGUUUUGAAUUAACUUGAUGAGCUUUUGUUGAUGUGAGGUGAUGCUUGCUUGUCGCUUGACUUUGUGUUGUGAGCGGGUGCAGUUUUAAUAAGCGCGUUUAGUAAGUCGUUGAUCUCUAUCCGGCGUGUCUCCAGUUUUUUUUUUUUUCUAUAUAAUCAAGUCUUCUCUUUCUUGAUCAUUAAUCUUUUUAUUUAGAGUUUCCAUAUCCCUUUAUUCUAUUUUAAAUUAUUCCUUUGGGUACACCUUCCAUGAACCGACCUAUUAAAACGUAUGAAGAAUUAUUUUCAGCAUUUUUCCUGGAAUUUAUUUCCACUUGACUCUGAGCAUAAUCUAAUUUCUAGAUGCUCCUAGAUAUCUUUUCAUGAGCUCUAAAUACUUUAUUUGGAUUCAUCUUCCAAUUCACCCAUGAGUUUGUCAUGCUUUUGUUAAAGCUCCCUUUUACUUUGUGUAAAAUUCUUGCUAAUUUGGGCUCAAACCCACCAUCCGACCGCAGCUCAAUUUGUCCGACGUCUUAUCGUAGGGAGACCAGGAAGCCAACUCCUUUUUGAUCUUAAAACGGCCCAUAUCUUCUAGCAUAUAUAUAUAUAUAUCUUGCAACAGAACAGGCUCUUGCUUUUGCCCUAGAUCGUAUCUGCCGCCGCCGGUGCCGACUAAUCUCCCCUAGAGCCAUGCCGUCCUGCUCCAUCCUGGCCACCGCAGUCGUCAUCGGGUACAGUAUUUUUCGGCUGUUGGACGAAUUCAUCUGCUCGUCGAUUUCCUCCGUUUCAUCAAUCGGCGCACUGCAGAAGCUGUUGUCCUCUGUGUUGAUCGGUGGUACUGUGCAGAGGUGGAAGUCCAUGCUGCUGUUACCGAUUACCGCUGCCCGGCGCUGCGUUCUCUGGCUUUCACUCUCACCGACACACAUGGAUCAAGGUAAUUAGGACUGUGGUUUGUGGGUGAAUUUCAGAAUUUUCAGUGCACGUGGAUCGAGUGAGAAAUCAACAUUUAUGUAUUACUUUUGUUAAUUGGUGGUAAAAGAAAUCAGAUUUAGAAUUUCUUUUUGCUCCAUGAAUACGUGAUGUCGUGGAUAAGUUUUGUCACCGUUUUCCUUUAGAAAAACAAAUCUAGAAAUAUAGAGAAAAUACAUUAGCUUGUUUUAGCUAUAAAAUACUCAUUUUAACUCUGAGUUUGUUUGUUCAAGUUGCAUUAGACUCAUAUCAAUGUAAUCUACGCGUUAGUGCUAGUGUUUUUCAUGUCACAUGUUUUCUAUAUAUUUCUAAAUAUUUAAUUGCUCAAUAUCCUUAUAGUUAGUUUUAUAAUUAAAAUAAUAUGGGUUUGUCUAUCCUUUGUAAUUAUGUGAGCAUGAAUUUAAUUAAUAGCAACUUGAAUAUGUUUUAAUUAUAUUUUGCUUAGACAAUCACGAUAUAUACCAUAAACUUAUUUUAGUGCUCACAUGUUACGUAAUUUUAUAAGUUAAAGUUUAACUGGCAUAAACGAUAUAAAAUUAUGUAUGAAUAACAUAUGAUCAUCUCCAACACGUAUCAUGUAUAAUUUGAAUAGAUGUUCUCACAUAUUCUUUAAAAAGUUAAAGUUUACUUUGAUUAAAAUGAUGCUUGCAUGCCUAUAUUUAAAAUAUGAUUAUCGAUUAUAUAAUAGAUAUAUUCAUAAAUAAAAUAUAAUAAGUUCUACUUUGUUUUUAAAAUUAAAAUAUAAUUUGACUAAUUUGAAUUAGUAGGUUACGCAUGAUUGUUCUUAAAUAAAACAUAUUAAGAUCAUUGUUGUCUCUUUUAAAUUAUCCAAAACUACAGGUAGUCAUUUCUUUAUUACGAUAGUUUUGCUUUCGGCGUUUCUCAUAACCUUAGCAUCGACCCGUAACGUUUAGUGCGCUCUCUUUUAAGGCUUUCUUUUUUUGAUUGGUGUGUUGUUCUUAGUUUCUUUUAUUUGUUGCUUUGUAUGUUUGCCUAUGCGUGGUGCUUCAUGCGAGUAGACGAGAACUGUUUGUGGGCAUUGAAGAUCAGAAGAUGAUGACAGAAAGCUGAUGAUGUGAGGAUUAAGCAAGUGUUUAAGGCAAGUAUAACUUGGGAUCAUCCUUGUUACCUAUUCACUUAUAACUACACAUAUAUGUCAUAUGCAUGCUAUCACCUUGUCGACCUUAGCAAAAUCAUAGAUGAUUGUUACCUGGAUUCCUUGCUACCUACUUGAUAUGCAUUUGGUGUAGAUGUGCUAGUGCUUGAUAUAAUCCAUGAUCUUGUAAGAUGAUUAAUAGCUAUGCAAUGAACGUUAAAAGAUGACAAAUAACUAUAUGAGAUCUUGUCUGUAAGUGAUCACCGGGACAACAGUGCAACCACGAGGGCUAUAAUGGCUCUGGCUUUAGCUCAGUAUGAAGACCUUUUCUAGCUUGUUAGAGGUUACCCGAAAGGGCGGAGGGGCUGAACCGACACGGGUAUAGUGCGAGCCCCUGUCCCUAUGUGUAUAGGCUGCGCGUCAUUGUGCCAUUCGGAAGGGGGGUAUCUAUAUCUGCUCGCAAAGGAAACCUUGCGGCCCUAACAUGUUAGACGAACUUUUGAAAGGCUUCAUAGUGAUCCCUGCCGACCUUCCUUGGGAGUGGGUUAAGAGGCUGAUCACCUCGGGCGAAAGGGUAAAUCAUGACUCAUGGGUAAAGAUGUACAACCUCUGCAGAGUGUUAAAACUAGUAUACUAGCCGUGCUCACGGUUAAGAGCGGCCUUGGGGGUUCUUGCUGCGACGACGAUGAGCUUGUUAAGUUGUUAUGUUCAUUUGAUUAUCGUUUAUGCUAAGAAUUAAUUAUGCUUACACUUGAUCAUGUGAUUAAUGGAUUAUUACUGCUACCUUGACAAUUGCUAUUAAAUUAUGAACAUGCUCUCCACUAUUAAAAGCUAAAUGCAGUUAAACCAGUGUCAGCCAUUUGAGCCUCAUGAACCCCUGGUUAUACUUGUUGAGUACGAUAUGUGCUCAGUCUUGCUAUUUCCCACCACUCCAGUAUACUACUAAGAGUUAUCAGAGGAGCGAAGGAGUUACGAAGGACGUUAUCAGGAUACAAGAAGUGCUAGGCAUAUGUUACCCCAGUCAGCCGUCCCUGUGAAGAUUGAGCCUGAAGAUUAGUUAUUGUGUUACGAUUCUCUGAUGUAAGUGUUAAUUAUAAGUAUGUUUCCGCUAUAUAACAUUGUUUUUGAUAUUAUUGCUUCUGUUGUU